This 73-nucleotide transfer RNA is filed under the name Candidatus Tagabacteria bacterium CG09_land_8_20_14_0_10_41_14. RNAcentral's name for it is "tRNA-Val". It matches the Rfam family "tRNA". From Rfam's summary of the family: Transfer RNA (tRNA) molecules are approximately 80 nucleotides in length. Their secondary structure includes four short double-helical elements and three loops (D, anti-codon, and T loops). The record is from RNAcentral. Lineage: Bacteria; Candidatus Tagaibacteriota. RNAcentral also lists the same sequence under 1 other name.
GGGCGCGUAGCUCAAUCGGCAGAGCGUCGCGUUUACACCGCGAAGGUACCGGGUUCGAAACCUGGCGCGCCCA